Long non-coding RNA from Cebus imitator (Panamanian white-faced capuchin), 1339 nucleotides. RefSeq lists it as uncharacterized. Lineage: Eukaryota; Metazoa; Chordata; Mammalia; Primates; Cebidae. The record is from RefSeq and is a predicted model, not a curated record. The transcript has 3 exons.
GGCCGGCGCUGAGCGCUGCCUUUCCGGCUGUUGCGGAUCUGCUUACAUUUAGGACUGCAGUUACUGCAGCGAGGCUGUCGCCGACUGGCCGAUUUUCCGAACGUGUGUAUGAUUGGAAGUUACCUCUAAUUAACGGUGGCUCCCGUGUAAGACUUGGGACUUCUGCCAAAGAGCAGUGUUUUCCUUUCCCGAAGAAGAAAAUCAGUACCCUUAAUUCUCAGUCUUCCCUUCUCCCCUCAGCCGAACCUGCAUGAAACCAGAAAGGUCUGGGGAGUAACAGAUCUACCUGUCUUGUGGCCACUGAAGACCACGCUUCUGUCUAAUCCUUGGGCAGGAACCCACAUCUUGCAAGAUAGCUGCUCUCCUUCUGGAGAUCUUCUGGACUGCCCCACCUCACUGCUUGGAGACAAGAAAUCUGAUUUCGUCAGACUGUAAGCUCAUUCCUGGUGGCCUCUGGCUGAUCAAGUUUUAAAGAAACUGUCAGGGAUUGGAAUAGAGGACUGUGAUUGGCAGUCCCACCAGAACAAUGGGACGGGGAUAGGCAGUUCCCCAAAGGAGAAUGGAGUGCUGUCAUCAGGAAAAGGUGAAGGUAUUGGGCAUCCAGACCCAAUGGAUGGCUCUUGGAGUAGGUGCUCAAGUAAUGCUAGUUGUUAUUUGUGAGGUUGUGUUUUGGAGACACUACAACAAAUUACAUAAAAUUAUAGAUUAUAAUAAUGCAUAAUAAUGAUUAUUUACCAUGUGCCAGGCACGGUAUGUCUACUACCUCAUUUGAUUCUUAGCAAAUUCACACUUACUUUAUAGGUCUCCCCAGUUUCUAGGACACGCUUUCUGUGUCGGGAGAGUCAUCCAGCCUGAGUGCUCGUGAUGUCCCACUCAUCAAAGGGACACAAAGAAAAGAUGGCAGGUUGCUGUCAUCUCAGGAUCCCAUCUCGGUAUCUAGGCCAGCCUGACAGCGCUCCUUAGAUCCCUGUGGAUCUCUGCAUGGCAUGUGAAGUCCAAAGGGGCUUCAGCCCCAACUCAUUCUGCUUCAGGGCCGGGACCCAUGCUCUGCUCUGGCAGCACUAAUGACAAUAAUAAUCACUAAAAACACUUAGAGGCUGUUUUACUACCUGCCAAGGACUGUGCUAAGAGCUUUCCAUGUGUCAUCUCAUUUAACAGUUGAGGAAACGGAGGCCUGAAGAUGUUCCUUAUGAAGGUCACACAGUUGAUAAAUGAAAGAGCCAGGACUCAAAUCAGAAGCUAUCUAGAGCUCAUGGGCUAAACCACAGGCUGUAUUGCUCGGCUGAUCUGUGACCAUCUGUAAAUGCAGCCUCUUAAUAGUUUUUACUCGUUAAUUUAU